GAGUAACGCGUUGGUGACCUGCCCCAAAGAGGGGGAUAACAGUCCGAAAGGACUGCUAAUACCCCAUGUGGUCCGAGGGAUUAGAUGCCCUUUGACUAAAGGCGAAGUCACUUUGGGAGGGACCUGCGUCCCAUCAGCUGGUUGGUAGGGUAACGGCCUACCAAGGCUAUGACGGGUAGGGGACCUGAGAGGGUGACCCCCCACAAUGGAACUGAAACACGGUCCAUACACCUACGGGUGGCAGCAGUAGGGAGUAUUGGUUAAUGUGCGAAAGCGCGAACCAGCAACGCCGCGUGAGCGAUGAAGACCUUCGGGUUGUAAAGCUCUUUUUGAGAGGAAGAGGAAGGACUGUACUCUUAGAAUAAGCCUCGGCUAACUACGUGCCAGCAGCCGCGGUAAAACGUAGGAGGCGAGCGUUAUCCGGAUUUACUGGGUGUAAAGCGCGUGCAGGCGGUUCAGAAAGUUGGAUGUGAAAGCUCCUGGCUUAACUGGGAGAGGCCGUUCAAAACUAUCAGACUAGAGGACGGUAGAGGAAGGUAGAAUUCCCGGUGUAGUAGUGAAAUGCGUAGAUAUCGGGAGGAAUACCAGUGGCGAAGGCGGCCUUCUGGACCGUUCCUGACGCUCAGACGCGAAAGCUAGGGAGCGAACGGGAUUAGAUACCCCGGUAGUCCUAGCCGUAAACGAUGUGGACUUGGCGUCGGUGGGGUAAAAUCCAGCGGUGCCGAAGCAAACGCGAUAAGUCCACCGCCUGGGGACUACGGCCGCAAGGUUAAAACUCAAAGGAAUUGGCGGGGGCCCGCACAAGCAGCGGAGCGUGUGGUUUAAUUCGAUGCUACACGAAGAACCUUACCCGGGUUUGACAUUCAGGUAGUAGGGAACUGAAAGGGGACCGACCCUUCGGGGAGCCUGAACAGGUGCUGCAUGGCUGUCGUCAGCUCGUGUCGUGAGAUGUUGGGUUAAGUCCCGCAACGAGCGCAACCCCUACCAUUAGUUGUCAGCGAAUAAUGUCGGAUACUCUAAUGGGACUGCCGGUGACGAGCCGGAGGAAGGUGGGGAUGACGUCAAGUCAGCAUGGCCUUUAUGUCCAGGGCUACACACGUGCUACAAUGGACGGUACAGAGGGAUGCAAGACCGCGAGGUGGAGCAAAUCCCUAAAACCGUUCUCAGUUCGGAUUGCAGGCU
RNAcentral lists this ribosomal RNA (1182 nucleotides) under uncultured bacterium. RNAcentral's name for it is "bacterial SSU rRNA". It matches the Rfam family "Bacterial small subunit ribosomal RNA", at positions 108 to 1306 of the family's 1533-position model. The record is from RNAcentral.